GCAUCUCCCUUACACUGAGAAGCCGCCCAUGCAAAUUGGGCCAUCCUGACACCCAGUUGCUAGCCCAUCAAAUGUUUUUUAAAAUUAAAUAUUUUUAAUAACAAAUAAACUAAAACCAUUCAACAAACCAUUUUUCCCCCUAAGUAAUAGGUGAUAGAAAAGGGACCAUAAGAGCAAUAGACAAAGUACCGCAAGGGAACCCUGAAAAAGAAAUGAAACAAAUCAACAGUUCAAGCACCCAAUAGCAGAGACCCCCUCUCGUACCUUUUGCAUCAUGAUUUAGCAAGUAAACCCCAAGCAAAGAGCCCUGUAGUUUGAGACCCCGAAACUAAAGCGAGCUACUCCAAGACAGCCCAAUAAGGGCAAACCCGUCCCUGUGGCAAAAGGGUGGGAAGAGCUUCGAGUAGGGGUGAUAAACCUACCGAGCAUAGUUAUAGCUGGUUGCCUGAGAAAUGAAUAGAAGUUCAGCCCUCCGGCUUCCUAACCCACCUUAGUACCACUAAUGUAUUGGCCCUAGGAAACCAGAAGAGUUAAUUAAAGGGGGUACAGCUCCUUUUUAAUAGAAACACCUU
This 572-nucleotide ribosomal RNA is filed under the name Zenion japonicum (Japanese dory). Its description in RNAcentral is "partial 12S ribosomal RNA". The stretch from base 244 to 572 matches the Rfam family "Bacterial large subunit ribosomal RNA", at positions 569 to 1028 of the family's 2925-position model. The record is from RNAcentral. Lineage: Eukaryota; Metazoa; Chordata; Actinopteri; Zeiformes; Zenionidae.